Molecule: non-coding RNA, 400 nt
Organism: Oncorhynchus mykiss (rainbow trout)
Lineage: Eukaryota; Metazoa; Chordata; Actinopteri; Salmoniformes; Salmonidae
Source: RefSeq, a predicted model, not a curated record
CCUGUGAGUUGAACACUUCAUGACUAAGAGCUGUUCUUCAUGACAACAGAACCCACAACAACCAUGACUUUUAUCACCAUCUUCAUCUGGACACUUGUUUUCUGCUUUCAAGAUGCCAGAGGACAGUACGUUGUGACACAGACUCCGGUAGUGAAAGCUGUUGUCCCAGGACAGCCAGUCUCUCUGAACUGUAUAACCAGCAGUAAUGUGUAUUCUAAUAAUCGCCUAGCCUGGUACCAACAGAAACCUGGAGGAGCUCCUAAACUCCUUAUUUACCUUGCUACAACACUUCAGUCUGGGACUCGAUCUAGAUUCAGUGGCACUGGAUCUGGGAGUGACUUCACUCUGACCAUCAGUGGAGUCCAGGCUGAAGAUGCAGGAGAUUACUACUGUCAGAGUU